CCGGACGCUCCGCCCCCGCAAACCUGGCCACUGGAGGCACGUGAGGUCCAGGCUCCUGCCCUGCCCGCCCCUGGGCUUUGGUCACCCGCGGGACUGGGCACGCACAGGCACACAGCAGAGCCGUCCACAGACCCGGCCCAGGGGCCGCCGGGAUCAUCCCGCCCAGUCGAGCUCUUGGGCCCCCUUGAAGCCUAGGAGUGUUUUCUCAGAGAGAAAGCAGCACGCUUCUUGCGCAUUUGCACAUCUCCAACGCAGCGCUUCGGCCUGUCCUCCGCACUGGAGACUCAGGUGCCUCCGCCCUCCUGAGAGCAGGGGCGGCCUCUCUGCUGAGAGUUCUGAUUGUCAAGCUCCCAGAACUUUCAGAGUUCAGUCCGCCCAGCGUUCUUGUUUACCAGUUGAGGAAACGGAGGCCCAGGGAGGCUGUGCAGCGCGCCGGCACUCACACACCUGGUGGGGACAAAUGUGGACUAGGAUAUCUGGGACCGAAGUCUUGGCCUCCAGCUCCCUCUUGCCUCCCACUUACCUUUCCAGAGAUGGAGUUUCACCACGUUGGCCAAGCUGGUUUUGAACUCCAGACCUCAAGUGAUCUGCCCGCCUCGGCCUCCCAAAGUGCUGGGAUUAUACAUGUGAGCCACCGUGCCUGGCCUUGAGUUACAUUUUCAUGGGGACUUGGGACAAUCGGAAAUGCAUCCACCACACUUGCAGACUGACUGGUGAUCCUGAAAUGAUGGCGUGUGGGAGAGGCAUGGGCUUCCUUUAAGAGCCGCCAGAGCCAGGGCAGGGGCACCUUGUGCCUUGACAUAAGGAAGGCUCCCCUGCCAGGAUAGACAGAAGAGCUGCCGAAGAGGUGGAGCCAGGCAGGGGCCACAGGCCCGUGAAGGUCUCAGCAGAGCCCCCAGGAGAGUUGGACUUGCUGCAAGCAGAGCCUAUGGCUCUGCGGUUCCAGGAGAACUGUUUGUGCCCCUUGCCCCACUGCCUGCCAGCUGUCCCCAAAAGGACCAGAGGAUCAGAGUAGCCCACUCCAGACGAGGUGCGGGCACCAUGCUGUUACCAUCUGCUGCCCCUCUUUCCAUCUUUCCAUCUUACUUCCUGCGUGGCCCAGCAUCCAGGCUGUCUAGGGCCGUGGGAGACCUGGAGAGCCAUUAAAAACAACAACUGGCAGCACACAGGCAUUUUUUGGCAGCACACGGAAACUCACACGGAACAGACAGGGAGCCGGAGGUGAGCAGAGUUACCUGUAUUUCUCUCACCACCUGAGGAAAUUGGGGUUCAAAGGGGUAAAGCACCUUGUGUGUUGGCCCCAGGGGUGAAGCAGGAGGGGCCAGGCCUCUAGGAGGACUGGCACAGUUGGGUCAAGGACAGGGGAGCCAAGAAUGUGGGGUGCGGUCAGGACCUGGGAUGGCCAAGCAGUGUGAGGUGAGCCAGAGGCCCAAGGUCUCUGAGAUGCUGCACAGAGGGGCAUUGAAAGGAGCCAGGAUUUGAGGAGGAGAAGGGAGGAGGUGGGGGAGGAGGGCUCUUAUGCAGACCUGGGGUGUGGGGAGGGGAUGUUCACUGACCCCCCCGCCCCACCCUCACCCGCAGGACCGUGGCCAGGCUCCACCCUGGAGGCAGCAGAGCGAGGAACGUCUAAUGGGGAUCCCGUGUGGAUGCCUUUAGGGAGCUCUGCUGUAUACCUGUUACCUCUCACCCUCAAUCACACCUCUGGGGCCUGGAGCUGCUGGGGACACAUUGACUGGAAGGGGCUUGGGGGCACAAGGAGUGAGAGCCAGAGAAGGGCAGGGCAGCCCAGGGAUUGGCAGAGCUGGCCUCAGAAGCUAUUGGUGCCACUGAGAUUCAAGUACCCCCUGCUUCUUCCCCAAGUCACAGACAGGGUGAAGACAGAGGCAGGAUUCAAGCCCAGAGCCCAUGCACUGCCCUCAUUCCCUGACUGGAGUGUAUUCCUGGCAGGGUGACCUGGAAGGGGCCCCCCCAGCACACUAGCUGACCUACUUCUGCCUGGUCUGAGAAGCCUGUCCUACAUCACUCAACCUGAACACAGGGGAGGCAGGGGAAGAGGCAGGAGGGUCCUCCUAUGACCAGGACCACCCCCAGGGCCCGUGCUGCGGCAAGGGCAAGGACCCCUGCCUCCUUGUGCCCCUGCUCCCCACGUCUGAACGUGGACAGGACUGAGGUUGCCCUCUGUAAGGACUGUGGAGGCUCCAGGCUGGGAGAAGGUGGAAGGUCCCAGAGCCCCGGAGCCUGGCUCUGCUGCCUAAUGCUGGAGCAAGUCACCUGACCCGCCUAGCCUCAGUGUUCUCAUUUGUGAAGGGGGCUGAUGAUAGUGCCAGCUCUCAGAGCUGUUGUCUUCACCCUUGGCUUUCAGUGUCAUGGUCGUGAAGCCCACUCAUACGUGACCUCAAUGAGAUGGCCAGGUAUGUUUAUCAGCACUUUUGGGAUAAUGAUUCUCCCCUCCCAUGGUGACUGUGAGGGGCAUGAGUGUGGCCAGCGUGCAGCCGAGAAAACAGAUGUGAGCCCUCUCGUUUAGGAAGGGAAGGUGGGACAGGCAGGCAGGACUCCUUGUGGGCACCUGUUGAGGGGGCCUCACCAGGCUGCAUGGCCUCAAGGGCUGCUUUCAUUGAUUCAUCUACAGUGUAUAGUUAUUUCCAAUCAACUCAAUACAGCAUUCAUUUGAAAAAUGUUUCAGUCAUUGAGAACAGUCUGCUUUGCCUGCCCUCAGAGGACUCUUGGAAAUAAAUCAACAAACAGAAAAUUACAAGAUAAGUUAAGUGCUAUUAAGGUAAAACAUUCAGGGUCGAGAGAGGGAAGAAUGACCUGAGUGGCCACGGAAGUCCCCACUGAACCCUGGAGGCUGAGAGGCAUGGGGAGGUUCAGGGAAAGAGGGUCCUUGUAGGGGGUAAGUGCAAAGGCCCUGGGGCCACAGCACAUUUAGAGAGGCAGAAAACUCACAUACAUGGCUACACUUUAGGGAGCACAGAUGAAGAUGGGGGAGAUGGAGUAGAAGCUAGGGUGGGGCACAGCAAGAGGGCCCUGGAAGCAGGGGAGGAAUGUGAAGGACCCUAAGCUGAGCUGGCAGGGGAGGAAGCAGAAAAUUUUUUUUUUUUUGAGAUGAGUCUCGCUGUCGCCCAGGCUGGAGUGCAGUGGCACGAUCUCGG
Molecule: long non-coding RNA, 3152 nt
Filed under: Homo sapiens (human)
Lineage: Eukaryota; Metazoa; Chordata; Mammalia; Primates; Hominidae
Description: HSALNT0039861
Source: RNAcentral